Molecule: long non-coding RNA, 1050 nt
Filed under: Melopsittacus undulatus (budgerigar)
Lineage: Eukaryota; Metazoa; Chordata; Aves; Psittaciformes; Psittaculidae
Description: lncRNA (ENSMUNG00000020994.1)
Source: RNAcentral
GGUAACAUCACAUUUUUAGGCCCUGUUCUGUACUAGAAUCACUAUUCAUUGAGUUUCUGAAUGAAUUAUUGUGUGGGUUGUGUUUGUAAGCUAAUGGUAAGUGGGCUGCUUUCUUUUAAUAAUCUCCUUUCAUUCUAGAUAUAAAAAUGUUACUUUUCUUUCAGAUGUUUCAGGCGUGCCCAGUCCAACAUAUACCAGUACCAUAUGCAGCAUUCCCACCUCUGAUUUCUAAUGACCCAUUUCUUUUGCAUCCUCCUCACUUCUCUUUGCAUCACACCUCUCACCUGACACCUCCAGGGAAAUUUGUUCCCUUCCAAGCACAUCAGUCAUGCUCAAUUCAUAGCAACUGGCAAUAUAUAUGGUUGAAAAUGAGCUACAGCCCCAUCCUGUGCAAUAGCUUUGAUGACUCAAGUACUUUUAAAAGGAGACUGUAUACCUCAUAUUCUGGCUACUGUUGCUCAAGUCUUUUCAAAGGGACAAUCAGUCGGCCAUUGAGACUAUGAAAUAAUUGAAACAUCUGAAUUCUUCUUCUUCCUCUUUAAUUAUCCACAUAGCGUGAACAGGAUGGCUUGCAGUUCCCACAGUGUCCCUCAGGGAUUGCUACUGGUAUCGGCCUUGUUCAACAUCUUUGUUGGCGAUAUGGACGGUGGGAUUGAUGUGCCCUCAUCAGGUUUGCUGACAACACCAAGCCGUGUGGCUCGGUUGAUACACUGGAGGGAAGGAAUGCCAUCCAGAGGGACCUUGACAUGAUUGAGGGAUGGGCCAAUGCUACCUCAUGAAGUUCAACCAAGCCAAAUGCAAGGUGCUACACCUGUGUCAGAGCAAUCCCGGGCACAGCUACAGGUUGGGCAGAGAAGAGAUUCAGAGCAGCCCUGCAGAGAAGGAUUUAGGGGUGUUGGUUGAUGAGAAAGUAAACAUGAUCUGUGUUCAGCGUGCGCUCGCAGCCCAGAAAUCAGCCGUAUUUUGGUCUGUAUCAAAAGAAGCGUGAGCAGCAGGUCGAAGGAAGUGAUCCUGCCCCUCUGCUCUGCUCUCGUGAGACCUCACUUGGAG